This 376-nucleotide long non-coding RNA is filed under the name Dromaius novaehollandiae (emu). RNAcentral describes it as "lncRNA (ENSDNVG00000006748.1)". The record is from RNAcentral. Lineage: Eukaryota; Metazoa; Chordata; Aves; Casuariiformes; Dromaiidae.
GCGCGGCGGCGGCAGCGGGACGCGCGGCUCCCCCUGGCUGCGCGGCGGCGGCGGGAGGCGGCCGCGCUCUGAGGAGGAGCCGCCGCCGCCUCAUCCUGCGGCAGCGCGAGGAGCCCGGCGAGCGCAGGUGGCAGUGUAGAAGCCAAGAACAAAAAUUGGCAGAAAUAUUUUCUGUGUAUGAGAAAAYGAAGAGUGUACUCAUGACUAAGCACAGGAACCUGAAAAACCACAGUACUGUCUUUUGAGUUCUGAAGAAUCAAAAGUGUGAGGAGGAUUACAGACAUGAAAUUAAGAUGCCAUUUCAAAUGACUGUCCAGGUGUGAAGCCCAUGUGACAUAAAGGAAAAUAAAGUUAUAAGAUGAAAGUAUUUAUAACA